This 155-nucleotide ribosomal RNA is filed under the name uncultured Vexilliferidae. RNAcentral's name for it is "partial Bacterial large subunit ribosomal RNA". It matches the Rfam family "Bacterial large subunit ribosomal RNA", at positions 1584 to 1746 of the family's 2925-position model. The record is from RNAcentral. Lineage: Eukaryota; Discosea; Flabellinia; Dactylopodida; Vexilliferidae.
GAUUGGGGGUGCAGUGAGCCGGUUCCAGGAAAUAGCUCCACCAAUAUUGACCGUACCCUAAACCGACACAGGGGGUCAGGUAGAGAAUACCAAGGCGCUUGAUAGAACUCGGGUGAAGGAACUCGACAAAAUUGUACCGUAACUUCGGGAGAAGG